CAGGAAUGCCUGCGGCUGGCUGGCUUCUGAUAGGGCCCUCAUUCGGGCCGCUUCCGCCCCAGCAGGGCUGUGCAUGGCUCAGCGGCCGGCUGGCACUUCCCCAAGUCUGCUGCAGGCCCUCGCCGCCCGCCCACACUGCCCUCCUGACAUGGAACUCCCGCUCCAGGGCCGGGGGUCUCCAUCUCCCCAACAGGAGCCCAGCGAGAGAUCUCCAAGGACCUUGCUCCCACUCCCUGCCCCCACUCAGCAGCUCACUCUUCCUUCUGUCAGCCGAGCUUGGAAAGGAAUGCGCUCAGCUCCCGCAUGGCUCACUUCUGGGGGGCGUGGGGCGGGCUCAAGUCUGAAGACCACCGGAGGAGGCCUGGGAUUGAUCUACAGCAGCCUGCUCAUUCUCAGCCGGGAUAUGAGAAUUUGCAAAGCAUCGGAGGACACACAAAGUGGGGCACAGUGAAUGCACCCAUGACCCAAGACAGGAAAAUGAACUCACGGCUGCUUCCCGAGGGUCGGACAGGUUAGCCCAGUCACCGUGUCAAUUCUGAACUGUAAUUUGUACCGCACCUGGGAAUGUCUGUUAAAGGAACAUCUUCUCCUAUGCUUUUGGGGGGAGGGGCGAGCCCUUUUCCCCCAUAAAACCAAGUGCAAGGUGAUUUGAACUGUGCAACGCAUGUUAAAGGGAUGCCUGCUAAUCUACAAGGAAAGCCAGCUCGGUUUAUGCACCAGCAAAGCCGGCCAUUCCGGGGUGUCUAUAGCAGUCUGUGCAGCAGAAGUGGACACCAGGGGAGCACAGGUGCUACCACAGGGGCCGUGAGACGCCCUGAACCAGGACCUGCCCUCGAACCUGAUCUCCAGGGGUGGGGGCAGCACAGCAGCCCCCAAAAGUGUGACUGUGGCCAGCGGGGAUCUAAAAGCACAAAAUGGCAAACUGCAGACUCGAGCAAGGCAUGCCUCGUGAUCUGGGCUUCUCUAAGCAGCGCGGGAACCGUCGGGCCGCCCACCCCGUCGCCCCGCGCAAGUGUCCUGCCUGCGUCCUCUUGCUGGUCAUCAGCCGCCUUGGGUACGACACUGACCCUUCGUCAGCUGCGCUUCUGCCUGUUUGCGCACAGAGUGACAUCGCUGGCCAUGCGUGCGUCCGGGAGGCGUGGAGAGGUGGAAGAAGGCUGGGUCAGACACUCAGAGACCGGAUUCGUGUAGCUGUCUCACUCUGCUUUUACCAUUGCUCUAUGGUUAGCUACUGCUGCCCACCUCUUUCUGGGCCUAAUUUACAAAUUAGACUUUAUCCCAGGUGUCGUGUAUGAGGAAAAAGAGAGUAUUAUAACAAGUUGGGGGUAUUGUCCAUGGUUUGGGGCACCUGCUGGGGGUCUUGAACUUGCGGCUGAUGUAUUACUUGAUCAUCCUUCACCUGGAAAACGUGUUUCACAAGGAAAAUGUCCAAAGAAACUGAACAGCAAACACAGCUGCCUGUUUGUUUGUUUGUUUCAUCUAUUUGAAAGGCAGGGUUACAGGGAGAGAGCGAGGUCUUCUGUCCAUUGGCUCACUCCCCAGAUGGCCACCACAGCUAGGGCUGGGCCAGGCUGAAGCCAGGAGCCCGGAGCUCCAUCCGGGCAUCCCAUGUGACACCUCUUACCUUUCAAGGAAGGACUCACUUGAGUCACUCCAGGUGUGUGCCAAAGCCAAUCCAUGCAGAGGCGUGCCGCUCAUUACGGUGACUGCUGUGGCUUUGGGGACUAUGUGGAGCCCUGGCUGCCUCGCUCUUUGAAGGGACCAUUAUGCAGCUCUGCUUUUCACUGACACCACAGCAGUCACAGGGACCACACUCUUGUGCCCGCGGAGCGGAAAAAGUGAAGGCUGGCCGGGCGCUUCAGUCGCCCUGUGUCCUGCAGGACGCGAGCCCAGGCUUUCUCUGUUGAUUUCCUAGAGGCGUUGGUCGUUCCAUGAAUUCUCCACGAACCACAGAGUGAGGGGACCCUGUGUACCCUUCUCGGCCGCCUAUGUAUCUCAACUUCUACUUACAAGGCUUCGGUCCAGCGACCCUCGUAAACUGUUCCCAAGGCGAAUUUUACAAGUAGAGACUGAAAGUUCAUGUUUUCCAGAGAAAUGACACAGAAAUGACUUCAACCUCUAUUUUAAACUUACACGUGCACCCUGGCGCAGGUCAAUAAUUAAAAGUCUCACCUAUCAACGUGACCUCCACGUAAAGGAAAAACAAUGAAAGGUUUGCUUUCUUCUUUUCUCCAAGAUAACGUUUAUGGAGCAGAUUUAAUGGGACUUAAGUGGAACUCCAGAACCAAGGAGGACUUUGGAAAGCCCUCCGGAGUGGACUUCCUCUCCAGCAAUCAAACAGGAGCGCGGUCAGCCUUUGCAGUGGGCUCACCGUCUGCCCCUGCACCUGCUGCUGCUCGCUGAGCCCUGCGAGCUGCCCUGCUCGGGCUGAACACGUGGUCAGCCACACCUGGAUGCCUGCAGGGACCAAGAGGAAGCAACCCCCUGUGUGUGGGGAGAAGGCUCGGUGAAGGGGGCAGCGUUGCUUCCCCUGGGAGACGUGCAACUGAGAGGCGAGGGAGGUGCUUAAAGCUCCCAUACUGCCUUGCGUGGCGCUCAAUGCACCUGCCCGAGGAUGCCAGAGGGGUGGCUCCGGGAUUCCGAGGGCACUGGAGGCAAACCUACAGGGCUGCACCUUGCAACCACGGCCGGGUGAUUCUAGAUUGCAUGGCUGGAGUUAUACCUGCUCCCUUCCAAUGGUGCCUUGGAGAGUGACCUUCCUUUGGACGACUCCCAGGGCAUAGGGUGAGCUGAGAGGGAGAGUAGUGGGUCUCGGGGGACUCUGGAAGCCAGCAGGCUGGCUCUGGCCACCUGGGUGCACAUGGUCAACCUGGACUGAGCGGGCCAAGGCUGUAGGAGGUGACCAGGAGGUUCACGUCUUCAGGAAAUGGACCGGAUGGGAAGACGGAGCAUGUGUUGGUUUUAAGAGCAGCAACCAGAAGACUGGCUUCCCGCCUAGGAUGAGAACUUCUGCCCUCCAUCAACAAUGAACCGUGCUGUGACACCAGGGACCUCGUCACCAGCGGCUUUUGACUUUCUUUGAGACGCCACGGCUGUUUUUUUUAUGAUGUGACCGACACUGGUGGUCUUGAUACCAAUCAUACUGCAAACAACACUGACGUCAGGAGACACCGAGAACACGCAGCCUGGUGUUUUGUUUUUAUUCCACGUGCCCUUCGGCGUUGAGAUUUCACCAGGAGCCUUCGGAGUGACCCCCACGUGGCAGCCUGCUGCUCGGAGCCCCACCUGGCCACAGCAGGUGCACCCACACCUGAGGUUCAGGGAGCACACCUCCACACCAGGCCCAGGUGCAGCACCAGAGCUGGGGGUCCCCCGAAGCCUCUGCUCCCACAGCCCACCCGUGCACAUGUGAGAAUGGAGAGAGCCAAGUACGCUGUCCCCCAGCGCUGCCACAGCCCUGGGGCUCUCAGGAGGCCACACGUUGUGCUGGACCCGGCUCUGCACUUGCAGCCCUUCCCGCGUGUGGUGUCACACCUGGCCUCGCCAGGGCACCCGUGUCCUGCCGCCCACGGAAUAGAGCUCAGAGGCAAAGGGGAACUUCCGUUUGCUUAAUGCUGUGCUUGCUCCUCUUCCUGUCUCUGGUUGGGAAGUAAAGCAAAGCUCUUUUUCUUUUAUAAAUUUAUUUGUUUAUUUGAAAGGCAGAGUUACAGAGAGAGAGAGAGACAGUGGUCUUUUCAUCUGCUGGUUCGCUCCCCAGAUGGCUGCAGUGGCCAGGGCUGGCAAGGCGGAAGCCAGGCGCCUGGAACUCCAGCUGAUCUAUGCAGGUGGCGGGGGCCAAGCACUCAGGCCAUCGUCUGUUGCCUUCACAGGUGCAUUAGCAGGGAGCUGGAUCAGAAGCGGAGCUGCUGGGACUCCAACUGGUGCCCAUAGGGGAUGCCGGUGUCACAGGCAAUGACCCACCACAACUCCGGCUCCUAAAGCAAAGCUCUUAUGGCAGCCCUAAUGUGGAAAAACGUCAAUAGGCUAUUUGGGAAUUCUCACUAUGAGACUGAAAAGCAGAAUAGACGACCAGGAGCUGGAUGACAGGCCUCUCUCCGCAUGUCAGCCACAGGGCAUUUGCACCUGUGCAGUGGGAGAAGAGUCUACACAUUCCGAGAAAAGAGCCUGCAACCCAAGGAUCCCCUCCCCCACCAGCCUGCGGCGGAUCGCUCUCCAGCACGAGAGAACUCAGGGAACACGGGGCCCAGAAAGGAUUUUCUGCAAAAGGCUAUGAGCUUCGUUGUCUUGUUUUUAGUAACAAAAUCCAGGCAAUUAGAUGAAUCAACACUAACCAUGCCCAAAGGACCAGUGGCGGGAAACCAAUCAAAGUAAAUGGGGGGUGAAUAGUUAAAGACCCUUUGAAGUGCGUGACAGAAGAGUGUGGUUUUUUAAAAUCUUGUGUGUAACAAAUGCAAGGAAGGCAAAAACAAAGGUGACGGAGUCGUCAGAUGUCUCAGGGAUGCUGUGUGAAGCUCGCAUGUGUAUUUUUUUUUAAAGCUUCCAACUUCUAAGAUUCUGGAUCAACGCUCCCGGAGGGAGCUUUUCAGGAAAUAAUAUCGUGUGUAAACAAGAGCGUAUCGCAGGUUCAGCAGUUCCUCUCCCCUCACUCCACGUCCCCUUCCAUGCGCAGCAGGUGAGCCACGCGGGUGAGCUGGAAGAAGCGGGGGUGGCAGCCAGACCUGGGUGCACCUGCUCAGGCACUGGGGCUUUUUCUGCUAGAUAGUGUGUGGGGGGGUGUUCUUCACCACGAUGGUCGCCCUGAGGGAUCCCUUGUGAGGGUCAUGGCCCAGAAGCGCUCCCCCAGCCCUGUCCCGUGCGAGGCUGGGCAGUAGUCAGGACCGGCCUAAAACCUGAGCUCUCCUCUCUGUGUGUAGAACUUUGCUUCCGACCCUCAGACGCUGAUCUGACGAACAAGGCAUGUAAGGAACUCUGAUCAUUCUUCCGCCUGUUCAAACCUGGCCAGUGCUAACUUUUGCACCAAAAUCAACUUGGGAUCCCACGCCAAGUCCCUCUCCCGCCGCCCAUCCUCAGAGGAGCCUUGAUGAGCUCUAAGACUGGGGCCGGGGGCUUCAGGCCACCUCGCGCCCCCUCUCUGGGUACCAUCGCCCCUGAUCCGAAGGUCACAGUUCUUUCUGGAACCUUCCAAGGCCCUGCUUGCCAACCCUUGGUAGUUUGAGCUCUCAUAAAACGCCUUCCAAGAGAGUGGUGGGGUGGGGGCUUGAAUGUGGCAAUUCCGCCCACCUCGGUCAGCAGCACCGUUCGUGUCUGCUCACGCUGGAUUUGCGACUUCCUUGGGUUCUGUCUGCAAAUCGCUCUUCUUAGGAUCUCUGUGGCCUCAGGAGCAGGUGCCCCAUGUGGACACGUAUCCUGCACUGGAGAGCCACUCCCAUCAGACAGGGUUCUGGUCACUGAUUCUCUGCACUCUUAGCCGCCUGCCCAGGCGUGCCACCCCUUCCGCCAACUCCCUCUUGGCCGGCCCAGCUCCUGCUCAGGUGUCUCCUCCUGGGACUGCAUGCCAACGUCGUGGUCACCGCCUUCCCCAGGGGUCAGCACAUGGCCAAUUCUGCAUGCUGGGGACUGAGGAGGAGACAGCGGGGGGGGGGGUGGCUCUGGGGUCGUCCCAGCACUCAGACACUCCCAAGGGAGAGGCACCACCUUUCCAGGGUAUUAGGGGAGCGCUUGCAGCUCUCAGACAUGCAAGAGGCCCAGUCUGAGACCCAAAAAUAUCUGGGACUGGCAGAGCAGAAAGAUGCAAAGACCCAGGGCUGCAAACCUGACCCUCUCGUUCUGUUCCAUCCUAAGUCCCCUUCUUGUCUGCAGGCCUGGAAACUUCCAGAAAUGCAGGUUGUCAGCCUUCUUUGUACCUGCUGACCUGGUAAGGCUAAAGCUUGAGACGGGCCUGCUCUGAAUAUCUGCGUCCCCCCGAUUCACACACUGAAAACCCCACCCCCAAAGUGACGGAGCUAGGAGUGGGGUCACGGAGGGUAACUCAGGUCGGGGGUGGAGCCUCUGCGAGCGGGGGACUGGUGGCCUUGCACAAGGACCCCACGGAGUUGCCCACCUCCCUCUGCCCUGUGAGGACCCGCAGUGAGUAGGUCAGAGCCGGUCUCCACCAGGCAUGUGUCUAUGCCUCACCCUCCGACGGGCCAGCACCCAGCACGUCCCAGCCCAGGAGCUGUUGGGAAAGGACCAACUCCCGGUCAGCCGUCUGUGGUCACGCGGCCCAGGCGACAGUGGUCACGGGGCCCAGGUGACAUCCAGCCAGGCCAUCGGGGUCUCUAACUCACUGUUACAAACCCCAGUGGACACAGCUAUCGUGUUGCGGCUUUAUGCCUCCCCUCUCCAGAAGACGGUGUCGCGAUGGGCAGGACACUUUUGCUGUCUGUCAGGGGCGCCUGCACCCUGGUAGUCAGGGACAGGGAGCUCUGGAGGCUGCCUGUGAGCCGUUCAUUCCGUGGCGAGAGCUCCGGGCCGCCCCGCGGGGCAGCUAGACUUGGGCUGUGAUUCUGGUCAACUUUGGAGCUUGUGGAUCCUAGGUGGGCAGAGGGAAUAUCCUGGACCAGAGAAGGGAACGCAGGGAUCCAGACGCAGAUGGAACCCAGGUCAGAGGAACCGAGGGCCCGGAUCCGGACAGGAGCCUCCACCUGAUCCCAGCUGCGGGCGCUAGGGAAGUCGGGCCAGCGUGCAGCUGUGGGUGCUGGCAGGAUGCUGGGUGGCGUCCUCUGGGGCCAUGGAGGAACAGGCUGAAGAGCCGAGAGGAGAGAGCCCGCCAGACUCUCCAGGGCUGGCUGUGGUUACUAACCUGUCCACCGCAUGCGGUACCCGGUUACACCGCGCUCAGCCCCCCGUAGCGGUGUACAAUGCAGAGGGAAGAGGCGCCGCCCAUUUUCCAAGGACUCCUGGUCCCCGACCUUUCACUAGUGGCACUCACAGCUCCUUACAAGUAGCCCGAGACAGGGAGAGCCCCCUGCUCAGGCUGUCCGACUGUGGCGCCCUGGCUCCCACGAGUCAGCCUGGAGUCGGGGCCCUGUGUGCCACGACGGACCCUGCACCAGUGGGCACCCUCCACGUGCAUGGGGUGCGGGUGUGGGCGGAGCCAAGCCAGUGGCAUCUCUGCCCUUCAUCCAGUUCAGCCUCCUGACAACAUUCUGCUCCAAGCUCCUCCCUGGUGCUGGUGAGCACUUCCGGCAUCCACACACCUUGGAAGCAACUCCUCCUCCACGCUGUACAUGACGGACAGCACUGGUCCUAUCCUGCAGAGAGCUAGCAGACUGUGGGCACCCCAAACCUUGCAGAUCAAGCCUCCCACCACGCGGGACCAGCAGAGCCCCCCGGAACAACUACCUGGGCACAGCAGGUGGCCUUGGGGCAGCAGCUACCCUGGCCCAGGUUUCCACCCUCCAGCACGUGCUGGUCCUGACUUCAACAAAACCAUGGUUGCAAAGUUGCCUUCCAACUGGUCCUGAUGAUAUUUGUUUGAAAGACCUAUGUGGUUCUGAUGGAAGUCAACAGGUGUCACUCAUGUAUUUCUGCCUCCUAACAGCUGCAGCCCCUGGGGUCCGAUGGUGUCUCCGCUUCACAGGGAUUCGCAGAUCCCUGUGUGUGCAUUGGGGCCGGAGCCCAGGGCAACCGGUGCCUCUCACGGGCUGCAAGCCCUCAGCCCAACCAUUCACCCCAUCUCUUCCCCAUCCAUAGAAUGCGACAGCAGUUCCCACCUCUGUGGUGAUGAGCUGCGAGGGGGCUCCUAUGUGUGGAGCAUCCGGGCCAGCGCCCACACGUCGGGAGGAUGCUGGGUUUGGGUCAGGAAGGGCACGGCAUGGAGCACGUUGAUUUUACAGGAAUUCUGUGAUGGGGGCACGGAGGCUGUCUUCUGCUCUCUAGAACAAAUGUUGCUCACACCAAAACCCCGAGGCAUAAAUUAGCAGAAGAAAACCCCUGGAGGCCGUGUUUAUUUCAUAAAUAAUGUCUUUUAUUUAUUGCGUAUGGCUAUAAGGCGGCGUCCAUGGUCAGUAUAACUACACACAAUGCACUAGGAUAGUCCAGUUUAUUCUUGUCUCUGGCCCUAUAUACAGCGUGUACAGUGGAAGACAGAGCAAGAUAAGUUAAGUCUCUUGUCAUAUCACAAUAGCAAGAAAUAUAUUUAACAUCUUGAUAUCCAGAAACAAUACGUACCCAAAAAGAAAA
Long non-coding RNA from Oryctolagus cuniculus (rabbit), 8223 nucleotides. RefSeq lists it as uncharacterized. The record is from RefSeq and is a predicted model, not a curated record. NCBI's taxonomy places the organism in Eukaryota, Metazoa, Chordata, Mammalia, Lagomorpha, Leporidae.